Molecule: ribosomal RNA, 270 nt
Filed under: uncultured archaeon
Lineage: Archaea
Description: partial 16S ribosomal RNA
Rfam family: Archaeal small subunit ribosomal RNA
Source: RNAcentral
CAGCACCUCAAGUGGUCAGGAUGAUUAUUGGGCCUAAAGCAUCCGUAGCCGGCGCUGUAAGUUUUCGGUUAAAUCUGUACGCUUAACGUACAGGCUGCCGGGAAUACUGCAGAGCUAGGGAGUGGGAGAGGUAGACGGUACUCGGUAGGAAGGGGUAAAAUCCUUUGAUCUAUUGAUGACCACCUGUGGCGAAGGCGGUCUACCAGAACACGUCCGACGGUGAGGGAUGAAAGCUGGGGGAGCAAACCGGAUUAGAUACCCGAGUAGUCC